This 582-nucleotide unclassified non-coding RNA is filed under the name Hevea brasiliensis (rubber tree). The record is from RNAcentral. Lineage: Eukaryota; Viridiplantae; Streptophyta; Magnoliopsida; Malpighiales; Euphorbiaceae.
UUGAGACCAUUCAUCGCUGGGCUCGGUACUGGCGCUAACCCCGGAAAUAGUCUAGGUUUUACCCACGCUUUGGUAAAUAGUUAGGUAAGAUUUAGAUGUUGCAUGAUUGUGAUUCUAAGGAUUAUUAUUAUUAUUUAACACUUUUCCUUCUAUUUUUCUCAUGUUUCGGACUGGAAGUCAGUUUCAGGGAUGAAAGACACGCUUGACCAAAUAAAGUAUGCUGGUAGAUGGAGACGAAACCAAAGCUGUUAACAACUGUGUAUAAAACUUUUCAGUGAAUAUAAAUUUUUAGAUCUAUCAAAUGUCACAGAAGAAGAAACAAUCAACAUAAUGUAUAAACUAUUGUCAUCAUUAUCAUUUGUCCACUUGUUCAUAUCUGUAGCUAUCUGAAAAUAGAUAUUCAUAGUGCUCUAUUACUCCUUUUCUUUGAAGCUUGACGUCUCACCAAAUUUAAACGCUUGGAUUUGUAUUGUAGCACACUGACUCCAACUGCAUACAUUUCCAACUAGUUUGAAAUUAAUGCUUAAUUGUUAUUGUUUGUAUGUCCAGACGAAGAAAAUGUACUUACUUUUUUUCUUUUUU